AUGAUUCUACAAGUAGUAUUACCCAUUAUGCAACUCAAGUUAAUAGGCGUAAAUUACAAACCAUUACUGGUAGUCAGUAUCUCUCUAGAGAUGAAGGAAUUGGUGCUAUAGCAAGUUCUUCUGAUAGUGAUGAUACUGACAGACAAGAUAUUGUUAAUGAAUUUACAUACAGGAGACAACUAAAUCAGGAUGCUCCUUCAGACAGUGGCUAUAGUUCAGGAGGUUGUAGCUCAACCAGUUCAGUAGAUCAUCACAGGAAAUGUACAACUCCAAAAAAUACAAGCACACAUCAACAAACCUUAUUGUGUGACGUAAUACCAGAAGAAUCUAGUGUAACUGACUCAGCUUUACCUCCUGAAAUAAACUCACUAUCAUCACAAGAAAUAACAGCAAGCAGUACUACCCCAACAGUACAACCAGCACAUCAGCUUACUGAUGUUGUCAUUGCUGAUUUUGAAAAAGGGAAAGCAACCUAUUGUCCAACUACUAAAAAAUAUCAUUUUGA
Molecule: long non-coding RNA, 505 nt
Organism: Amphimedon queenslandica
Lineage: Eukaryota; Metazoa; Porifera; Demospongiae; Haplosclerida; Niphatidae
Exons: 4
Source: RefSeq, a predicted model, not a curated record